RNAcentral lists this ribosomal RNA (253 nucleotides) under uncultured bacterium. RNAcentral's name for it is "partial 16S ribosomal RNA". It matches the Rfam family "Bacterial small subunit ribosomal RNA", at positions 524 to 776 of the family's 1533-position model. The record is from RNAcentral.
UACAGAGGGUGCGAGCGUUGUUCGGAAUUACUGGGCGUAAAGCGCACGCAGGCGGUUCGCCAAGUUUGGAGUGACAGUUGUCGGCUCAACCGACAAAGGACUUCAAAAACUGGUGAACUUGAGGACGAGAGAGGAACAUGGAACUCCAGGUGUAGUAGUGAAAUGCGUAGAUAUCUGGAAGAACACCAAUGGCGAAGGCAAUGUUCUGGCUCGUUUCUGACGCUCAGGUGCGAAAGCCAGGGGAGCGAACGGG